Long non-coding RNA from Cyprinus carpio carpio, 7495 nucleotides. Lineage: Eukaryota; Metazoa; Chordata; Actinopteri; Cypriniformes; Cyprinidae. The record is from Ensembl.
CUGUUUGAAACUUUCAUGUUUUAAAGUUGUUGUUUUUUUUUUCAUUUAAAAUUAUAAAACUUACUCUGAUAAGUAAAUUUUACAAUCUUCAGUGAUCCAUUGAGUUGGGACUGUCUAGAUUCCAGAAGAGUACUGAUAGCACCUAGGACCAAAUUUUCAUUGGGCACUGACGACAAGGAUGAGAAUACCAAUAUGGUUGUGACUGUUGCUGCACCAGUCACAUUUGUUGACAAUGUUUUGGGUAUGUUUGAAGUUUCUGGUUGCAAACUUGAAGUACUUUGAAGUGUUGCAGAUGCAUCUGCUUUUGUUGCAUUGUUUAGAGGUGUAGUAUUGCUAGAAAGAGUUUCAGCUGGUGUUGUUUUGAUUGAUGAUUGACUUGGAAUUGUAGAUGCUGGGGAUGUUGAUGCAUUUGUGUUUGAAACUGAUGUUAUUGGAGCUAUUGGAAAUUCUGCUGCACUGGUGAGACCUGUAUUAAUUCCAGUUGUAGUUGUUGAUGCAGUUGUAGUUUCUGAAUCCAUGUUUGGGAUUGGAGUUGUUUUGGUUGAAAGUGCAAGUGUGGCUGGAGCAGAAGAUGUGUUGGUAAAAGCUACAGUUGUUCUUAAAAGAUCUCCUGUUGUUACUUGAAAUGCAGUUGUUGUUUGAGCUGCAGUUGAACUUGGAAUAGUGGCUGUUGUUGUGGUUGGAGCUGUAGUUGAGAUAUCAGCUGGAACUGUAGUGGUGGGAAGAACAGUCAUGGUUGUAAUGGGUGUAGUUGGGGUUCUUGGAGGUUCAGUUGUUUUUAUUGGAGUUAAAGUUGGGGAUAUAGUUACAUGUGAUGAUGAGAUAGGCAUAAUUGUUACAGCAAUAGUUACAGUCUCCGGAGACACAGUUGUGAUAAUUGGAGGUGCAUUUGUUGUGGUAAGGAGUCCUGCUUGGCUUAGAGCUGGAGCUGUAUUAGUGAAAGCAAUAGUUGUGGUUGAUAGAGGUGCAGUUGUUAUUCGGAAUGCAGUUGUUGUUGCCGCUGUAGGUGUGUUUGUGCCUGGAAUUGAAGUUGAGGUUUGAGAUGGAUUUUCUGUUGUGGGAUAGUUAUUCGUAGAAGAGGAAGCUGUAAUGGUGGAUGUUGCAGGUGCAGGAGUACUUUCUGAAGUUGUAGACAUUGUUGGUGAAGUAAGAGUUGAGGUUUCAGUAGUUGUGGCUGGGGUUAAACUUGAUGUAGUAGUUGAAUAUUCCAUCAUGGUUGUGGAAUCUGUGGUUACAGCAGGUGAAGUUAUACUUUCUGAAUUUGUGUUCGGACCUUUUGAUGUUGUACUUGCAGCCUUAGGUGUGGUUUGAUCUGAUGUAGAAGUGGAAGGAAUGGUUGUGGUGAUGGAAGCUGUAGUUGUGGUUGUUGCAAGAGAAGCUGCUGUUGUCGUUGAAGCUACAGUGGUAGUUGUGGACGUUGUAGUUAUCGAUGUUGUUGGUGCAGUUGUGGUUUCUGAAGUCAUUUUGGUGAUUGUGAGUGUUUCAGUAGUUGCAGGUGCAAGUGGCAUUGUGGUUUGAGCUGUUGUUGCACUUGGAGCUUCAGAUGACAUUGGAGCUGAUGUCAUAGAGGAAGGUACAUUUAUAGAUGAGGAAGCUGUAGUUACUGAUGUUGUUACAGGUGCAGAUGUUUCUGAAGAUGUAGCCAUUGUUGUUGAAAUUACAGCUGUUGAUGUUGUUGGAUAAUUAGUUGCUGUACCUCGAGAUUCAGAUGAGGUUGGAGAUGAUGAUGUAGUAGUAGAAUGCACUAUCGCAGCUGAGGAAGCUGUAGAUGUUGAAGAUGCAGUUGUAAUUUCGGAAGCUGUAGUCACAGUAGUGGAUGGCCCCACUGUGGCUGUGGAAGCUGCAGUUGUGCUUGCUGCAGGUGUAGUUGUACUUUCUGAUGUUGUAGGCAUUGUUGUAGACGUAAGAGUUGUUGCUCCUGAAGUCACAACAGUGGAUGUGAGAGCUCCAGUAGAUGUGGUUGCAAGCAGCAAUGUGGUUUUAGAUGUUGUUGUACUUGGAGCUUCAGAUGACAUUGGAGCUGAUGUCAUAGAGGAAGGUACAGUUGUAGGUGAGGAAGCUGUAGUUACUGAUGUUGUUACAGGUGCAGUUGUUUCUGAAGAUGUAGGCACUGUUGUUGAAGUGAGAGUUGAGGAUUCUGAAGUUACAGCUGUUGAUGUUGUUGGAGUGUUCUUUGCUGUAAAUAUAGUUGAUGAAGCCGUAGUCAUAGCUUCUGCCGUUGUACUCUCUGAAGUUGUAGGCACCACUGUCGAAAUGAUAGGUGUGGUUUCUGUUCUCACAACCGUGGUUGUGGGAAUAUAGGUUUUUGAGGAUACUGUAGUUACUGAUGUUACAGUUGCAGUAGAUUCUGAAGAUGUAGGCUUAGCUGUUGAAGUAAGAGUUAUGGAUUCAGUACUCACAACUGUGGUUGUGGGAAUUUCAGUAGUUGAGGAUGCUGUAGUUACUGAUUUUGUUAGAGGUGUAGUUGUUUCUGAAGAUGUAGCUAUAACUGUUGAAGUAGGAGUUGUAGAUUCAGAAGUUACAAAUGUUGAUGUUGUUGGAUUGUUCGUUUUUGUAGGUGUGGUUGAUGAAGCUGUAGUCAUGGUUUCAGCUGUUGUACUCUUCAAAGUUGUGGGCAACACUGUUGAAGUAAUAGGUGUGGUUUCUGUACUCACAGCUGUGGUUGUGGAAAUUUUGAUAGUUGAGGAUGCUUUAGUUACUGAAGUUGUUACAGGUGCAGUUGUUUCUGAAGAUGUAGGCAAUGUUGUUGAAGUGAGAGUUGUGGAUUCUGAAGGUACAACUGUUGAUGUUGUUGGAUUGUUUGUUGUUGCAGGUGUGGAUGAUGAAGCUGUAGUCGUGGUUUCUAGUGUUGUACUUUCUGAAGUUGAAUGCACCACUGUUGAAGUAAUAGGUGUGGUUUCUGUACUCACAACUGUGGUUGUAGGAAUUUCAGUAGUUGAGGAUGCUGUAGUUACUGAAGUUGUUACAGGUGCAGUUGUUUCUGAAGAUGCAGGCACUGUUGUUGAAGUGAGAGCUGUGGAUGCUGAAGUUACAGCUUUUGAUGUUGGAUUGUUUGUUGUUGUAGAAAUUGUUGAUGAAGCUGUAGUCGUGGUUUCUGCUGUUGUACUCUCUGAAGUUGUAGGCACCACUGUUGAAGUAAUAGGUGUGGUUUCUGUACUCACAACUGUGGUUGUAGGAAUUUCAGUAGUUGAGGAUGCUGUAGUUACUGAAGUUGUUACAGGUGCAGUUGUUUCUGAAGAUGCAGGCACUGUUGUUGAAGUGAGAGCUGUGGAUGCUGAAGUUACAGCUUUUGAUGUUGGAUUGUUUGUUGUUGUAGAAAUUGUUGAUGAAGCUGUAGUCGUGGUUUCUGCUGUUGUACUCUCUGAAGUUGUAGGCACCACUGUUGAAGUAAUAGGUGUGGUUUCUUUACUCACAACUGUGCUUGUGGGAAUUUCAGAAGUUGAGGAUGCUGUAGUUACUGAUGUUUUUACAGGUGCAGUUGUUUCUGAAGAUGUAGGCAAUGUUGUUGAAGUGAGAGUUGAGGAUUCUGAAGGUACAACUGUUGAUGUUGUUGGAUUGUUUGUUGUUGCAGGUGUGGAUGAUGAAGCUGUAGUCGUGGUUUCUAGUGUUGUACUUUCUGAAGUUGAAUGCACCACUGUUGAAGUAAUAGGUGUGGUUUCUGUACUCAUAACUGUGGUUGUGAGAAUUUCAGUAGUUGAGGAUGCUUUAGUUACUGAAGUUGUUACAGGUGCAGUUGUUUCUGAAGAUGUAGGGACUGUUGUUGAAGUGAGAGCUGUGGAUGCUGAAGUUACAGCUUUUGAUGUUGGAUUGUUUGUUGUUGUAGAAAUUGUUGAUGAAGCUGUAGUCGUGGUUUCUGCUGUUGUACUCUCUGAAGUUGUAGGCACCACUGUUGAAGUAAUAGGUGUGGUUUCUUUACUCACAACUGUGCUUGUGGGAAUUUCAGAAGUUGAGGAUGCUGUAGUUACUGAUGUUUUUACAGGUGCAGUUGUUUCUGAAGAUGUAGGCACUGUUUUUGAAGUGAGAGUUGUGGAUUCUGAAGUUACAAAUGUUGAUGUUGUUGGAUUGUUUGUUGUAAGUGUGGUUGAUGAAGCUGUAGAUGUGGUUUCUGCUGUUGUACUCUCUGAAGUUGUGGGCACCACUGUUGAAGUAAUAGGUGUGGUUUCUGUACUCAUAACUGUGGUUGUGAGAAUUUCAGUAGUUGAGGAUGCUUUAGUUACUGAAGUUGUUACAGGUGCAGUUGUUUCUGAAGAUGUAGGGACUGUUGUUGAAGUGAAAGUUGUGGAUUCUGAAGGUACAACUGUUGAUGUUGUUGGAAUGUUUGUUGUUGUAGGUGUGGUUGAUGAAGCUGUAGUCGUGGUUUCUGGUGUUGUACUUUCUGAAGUUGAAUGCACCACUGUUGAAGUAAUAGGUGUGGUUUCUGUACUCAUAACUGUGGUUGUGGGAAUUUCAGCAGUUGAGGAUGCUGUAGUUACUAAAAUUGUUACAGGUGCAGUUGUUUCUAAGGAUGUAGGCACUAUUGUUGAAGUGAGAGUUGAGGAUUCUGAAGUUACAGUUUUUGAUGUUGGAUUAUUUGUUGUCGUAGAUAUCGCUGAUGAAGCUGUAGUCAUGGUUUCUGCUGUUGUACUCUCUGAAGUUGUGGGCACCACUGUUGAAGUAAUAGGUGUGGUUUCUGUACUCACAGCUGUGGUUGUGGGAAUUUUAGUAGUUGAGGAUGCUGUAGUUACUGAAGUUGUUACAGGUGUAGUUGUUUCUGAAGAUGUAGGCACUGUUGUUGAAGUAAUAGUUGUGUAUUCAGAAGUUACAGCUGCUGAUAUUGGAUUGAUUGUUGUUGUAAGAGUGGUUGAUGAAGCUGUAGUCGUGGUUUCUGGUGUUGUACUUUCUGAAGUUGUAGGCACUGUUGUUGAAGUGAUAGUUGUGUAUUCAGAAGUAACAGCUGUUGAUGUUGGAUUGUUUGUUGUUGAAAGUGUGGUUGAUGAAGCUGUAUUCGUGGGUUCUGCUGUGGUACUCUCUGAAGUUGUGGGCACCACUGUUGAAGUAAUAGAUGUGGCUUCUGAACUCAGAACUGCGCUUGUGGGAAUUUCAGUAGUUGAGGAUGCUGUAAUUACUGAUGUUGUUACAGUUGCAGUUUUUUCUAUAGAUGUAGGUACUGUUCUUGAAGUUAGAGUUGUAGAUUCUGAAGUUACAAAUGUUGAUGUUGUUGGAUUGCUCGUUGUUGUAGGUGUGGUUGAUGAAGCUGUAGUCGUGGUUUCUGCUGUUGUACUCUCUGAAGUUGUAGGCACCACUGUUGAAGUAACAGAUGUGGUUUCUGAACUCACAGCUGUGCUUGUAGGAAUUUCAGUAGUUGAGGAUGCUGUAGUUACUGACGUUGUUACAGGUGCAGUUGUUUCUAUAGAUGUAGGCAAUGUUGUUGAAGUGAGAGUUGUGGAUUCAGAAGUUGCAGCUAUUGAUCUUGUUGGAUUGUUUGUUGUUGUAGGAGUGGUUGAUGAAGCUGUAGUCGUGGUUUCUACUGUUGUACUCUCUGAAGUUGUAGGCACCACUGUUGAAGUAGUAGAUGUGGAUUCUGAACUCAAAACUGUGGUUGUGGGAAUUUCAAUAGUUGAGGAUGCUGUAGUUACUGAUGUUGUUACAGGUGCAGUUGUUUCUAUAGAUGUAGGCAAUGCUGUUGAACUGAGAGUUGUGGAUUCUGAAGCUACAGCUGUUGUUGUUGUUGGAGUGUUUGUUGUUGAAGGAGUGGUUGAUGAAGCUGUAGUCGUGGUUUCUACUGUUGUACUCUCUGAAGUUGUAGGCACCACUGUUGAAGUAGUAGAUGUGGAUUCUGUACUCACAACUGUGGUUGUGGGAAUGUCAGUAGUUGAGGAUGCUGUAGUUAUAACUGUUGAAGUAAGAGUUGUAGAUUCUGAAGCUACAGCUGUUGUUGUUGUUGGAUUGUUUGUUGUUGAAGGAGUGGUUGAUGAAGCUGUAGUCGUGGUUUCUACUGUUGUACUCUCUGAAGUUGUAGGCACCACUGCUGAAGUAGUAGAUGUGGAUUCUGUACUCACAACUGUGGUUGUGGGAAUUUCAGUAGUUGAGGAUGCUGUAGUUAUAACUGUUGAAGUAAGAGUUGUAGAUUCAGAAGUUACAGAUGUUGAUGUUGUUGGAUUGUUUGUUGUUGUAGGAGUGGUUGAUGAAGCUGUAGUCGUGGUUUCUACUGUUGUACUCUCUGAAGUUGUAGGCACCACUGUUGAAGUAGUAGAUGUGGAUUCUGUACUCACAACUGUGGUUGUGGGAAUUUCAGUAGUUGAGGAUGCUGUAGUUACUGAUUUUGUUAGAGGUGUAGUUGUUUCUGAAGAUGUAGCUAUAACUGUUGAAGUAGGAGUUGUAGAUUCAGAAGUUACAAAUGUUGAUGUUGUUGGAUUGUUCGUUUUUGUAGGUGUGGUUGAUGAAGCUGUAGUCAUGGUUUCUCCUGUUGUACUCUCUGAAGUCGUAGGCACCACUGUUGAAGUAAUGGAUGUGGUUUCUGAACUCACAACUGUGGUUGUGGGAAUUUCAGUACUUGAGGAUGCUGUAGUUACUGAUGUUGUUACAGGUGUAGUUGUUUCUUUAGAUGUAGGCAAUGUCGUUGAAAUGAGAGUUGUGGGUUCUGAAGUUACAGCUUUUGAUGUUGUUGGAGCAUUUGUUGUUGUAGGAGUGGUUGAUGAAGCUGUAGUUGUGGUUUGUACAGUGGUGGUUUCUACAGUUGUACUCUCUGAAGUUGUAGGCAUCACUUUUGAAGUUGUAGAUGUGGAUUGUGUACUCACAACUGUGGUUGUGGGAAUUUCAGUAGUUGAGGAGGCUGUAGGUAUAACUGUUGAAGUAAGAGUUGUAGAUUUAGAAGUUACAGAUGUUGAUGUUGUUGGGUUGUUUGUUGUUGUAGGUGUGGUUGAUGAAGCUGUAGUCGUGGUUUCUAAUGUUGAACUCUCUGAAGUUGUAGGCACCACUGUUGAAGUAAUAGAUGUGGUUUCUGAACUCACAACUGUGGUUGUGGGAAUUUCAGUAGUUGAGGAUGCUGCAGUUACUGAUGUUAGAGUUGUAGUUGUUUCUGAAGAUAUAGCCAUAACUGUUGAAAUAGGAGUUGUAGAUUCAGAAGUUACAGAUGUUGUUGGAUUGUUCGUUGUUGUAGGUGUGGUUGAUGAAGCUGUAGUCGUGGUUUCUGCUGUUGUACUCUCUGAAGUUGUAGGCACCACUGUUGAAGUAAAAGAUGUGGAUUCUGAACUCACAACUUUGGUUGUGGGAAUUUCAGUACUUGAUGAUGCUGUAGUUACUGAUGUUGUUACAGGUGCAGUUGUUUCUAUAGAUGUAGGCACUGUUGUGGGAGUGAGAGUUGUGGAUACUGAAGCUGCAGCUGUUGAUGUUGUUGGAUUGGUUGUUGUUGUAGGAAUGGUUGAUGAAGCUGUAGUCGUGGUUUCUGCUGUUGUACUCUCUGAAGUUGUAGGCAUCAUUGUUGAAGUAAUAGAUGUGGUUUCGAUCGCCACAACUG